GAUGAACGCUGGCGGCGUGCCUAAUACAUGCAAGUCGAGCGAACGGACGAGAAGCUUGCUUCUCUGAUGUUAGUGGCGGACGGGUGAGUAACACGUGGAUAACCUACCUAUAAGACUGGGAUAACUUCGGGAAACCGGAGCUAAUACCGGAUAAUAUUUUGAACCGCAUGGUUCAAAAGUGAAAGACGGUCUUGCUGUCACUUAUAGAUGGAUCCGCGCUGCAUUAGCUAGUUGGUAAGGUAACGGCUUACCAAGGCAACGAUGCAUAGCCGACCUGAGAGGGUGAUCGGCCACACUGGAACUGAGACACGGUCCAGACUCCUACGGGAGGCAGCAGUAGGGAAUCUUCCGCAAAGGGCGAAAGCCUGACGGAGCAACGCCGCGUGAGUGAUGAAGGUCUUCGGAUCGUAAAACUCUGUUAUUAGGGAAGAACAUAUGUGUAAGUAACUGUGCACAUCUUGACGGUACCUAAUCAGAAAGCCACGGCUAACUACGUG
This 497-nucleotide ribosomal RNA is filed under the name uncultured bacterium. RNAcentral describes it as "partial 16S ribosomal RNA". It matches the Rfam family "Bacterial small subunit ribosomal RNA", at positions 28 to 507 of the family's 1533-position model. The record is from RNAcentral.